Molecule: long non-coding RNA, 688 nt
Organism: Camellia sinensis
Lineage: Eukaryota; Viridiplantae; Streptophyta; Magnoliopsida; Ericales; Theaceae
Source: RefSeq, a predicted model, not a curated record
UUUGGAUAAGUUUUUUUUUUUUUGGCCCCUUCUUGUUUUGCUUUCCCCCUUUUCGUUUUGAACCCUAGCCUCUGAGAGAGAGAGAGAGGCGAUCUGGGUUUGAUUUCUCAUGUGUUUGAUUUCUUGGGUUUUCUGAAGCUCCAAAGAUGAACAAGAAGAUUGAACACAGCACCAGGAAACAAGCAAACUAAUCAAGCUGUCGCCAAGAUCCAACUCCAACUCCAAGAUCCCUAAAUCUCCAAUCAGAUGGACGAUCGAAGGGAAGAACACAGCACCAGGAUACAAGCAAACUAAUCAAGGCAUCGCCGCCGCCUCCACCAUUUUCGAUUGGAUUCUUCACUGCCUCGGAGGAGCAGACUAGUUUGAGCAGCCUCGGAGGAGCACAUAUGUUUUUGAGGCUUCAAGGAAUGGCACUUACCAGAGAAAGAAACCAAGACACAACACCGAUAGGCCAAAAAAAAAAUGAAGAUACUGCAUCCAAAGGAGAUGAAGUUGACACCUGAGAUCACUUUUGGGGGUGCUUGUAUUUGUAUGGGGUCUCAUGUAGUUUUUAUUUGUACAAAACAACCUUCUAUCUUUCUUUGUUUGUAUUUGUAUGGGGUCUCAUGUACUUGUAUUUAACUUAAAAUUUUAUUUUGUUUCAAUUUGAAAGCUCAAGAAAUUUUAUAGAGGUCGAUACUUGCUAUCA